RNAcentral lists this small RNA (7112 nucleotides) under Rattus norvegicus (Norway rat). RNAcentral describes it as "uncharacterized LOC102549917". Lineage: Eukaryota; Metazoa; Chordata; Mammalia; Rodentia; Muridae. The record is from RNAcentral.
AUAAGAACAAUGUUCAGGAUUUGGUUCUCCCCUUCCACCAUGUGGGUCCUGGGAACUGAACUCAGGUGGUCAGGCUUAGCAGCAGGUAGGUGUCUUUCCUCUCUUGGCCAUCUUGUUAGUCUCUGUGUCUAAUGUUUGUAUAUUUAUGUCUUGGUUAUGACUCUCUGCGGAGAAAAUGUCUUAUUGAGGAAUUAUGCCUAUCUCAUGAGACUGAAUGAGUCAAAGGCAGAACGUCUGCUUUCCAGCUUACAGACAUAAAGCCAGUGCAGUGUCACAGCUCUAUCCUUGACCAGACAGACACGGAAGUCUGAAUGAUCAGGCACCAUGUGCAUUCUCAUCCCCUCUGCUACAUGACUGGAAACAUUUGUAGCUACGUGGACUGCCCCAGCUUUGCUUGUUAUGGACAGGAAGAGUGGCUGCCAUCUUCAUUGUCCGUAGGCAAGAGGAAGGAUACAUUGACAAAGGGCAGCUUCAUGGAGAGUCAGUGUGAUUGUUUCAAGAAACAACAUAAGCUUCGCACCAUAGCUGCUCUCUAGAUAGUCCUCAUCUCAGAACUGUCUCUAAGACUACGCCUGCAUUCCCCUAUCCAACAUCACACCAACAUUGAAUGAAUUCAUUUCCAGGUGAGUGACAGCUCACAAUGCUGGUGAAUUAUCUUCACUCCUGUGGAAAGGGGGCUGAGAGGUCUCAGGGUAGGCAACAAGUUAUUUGCAUCAGGUUAUUGGCAUAAACAGAUUUUUAAAGGUCUCCUGAGAUACCUGGUGGGUACUUCUUCCAUGGAUAACUGUUUCUACAGAGUAUCAGAAGACAGCAAAGACAUCCCUCCAAGAAAAGGAGGAGUAACAUUGAAGGCAUUUUGAGUCCAAUCAAAAAGAAUGCUUCAGCUGAAGAGAAAAAUCAGCACAUUUUUAGUAAAUUUCACUUGGUUGUAAUUUUAAAAAUGUAAGAGAGGAUGGUGCCCAGUGGUACCCAAGGCAAUAAGAGAUCCUGAAUUAUUAGACACCUGGCUUGGGAUCUGAGCAGUGCUAUUUCAUGGAUAAUAAUGGUGUGUGUAUAUGUGUGUGGCUUUCAUGGACCAGAUACCUCUUAGUCAGUUUGUCAGCUUUUGGCAAACGCGUAAGUGAAUCCAGCUACCAUUGAUCGAGCCUGAUCUAGCUCAGCUCACCCAUGGAUUCAUGGACUUAAAUCAAACUCAACUCUUAUUUUCCUGGAGACUUACUAGAUGCUAGCUGGCUAGGAAGGGAUGAGGGUAACUGAGACACAUCUCAUUCUCCAAGUGCUUGGCAUAGACUUAAUUUCAAUACAGAAAUGUUAGCACAAGAACAAACAGUAAAUGGUUAUGGAGACAAAGCCUUGGUUGGGGCCAUUUGUAACUCAGAAUCUGUGUGAUCAGUCCAGGCAUGGCACAUAACAAGAGCUUACAUUCAUGAACAGAGCACCCGGUCCCUUUAUAAGAGUGGCCUCAAUACUGUGGAUCAAAGAUGGACGGCUAUGGCUGUCCAUGCAACCUGCCACAGUAUAUAAGCCACUGCUGGCAUCCCAGCAGAGACCUAUCACUUUCCUAGUGUAGAGUAGGCUAGUGAGAGUUGAGUCCUAGGAAGGUAGGCUCUAAGGGUGAGAAGCUGUCUGCAGACUGAAAAUUCAGCUCCAGAACCCUUACUGGGCCCUGAGCUUUGGGUAUGAGGCCUGAGCUCUGGCAGUCUCCAGGACACACCAGCCUUCCCCUGCAUCUCUGACUGAUCAAGGUCAGGUAAUUGCCUGUUUGCCCCAUUUCUACUGUUUAGAUACCAGGACACCUCAAUUUCUCACUCUGUAGUUGAAAAUGAAUAGUCUUGUCUUCCCAGGGAGACCUUAUUUAUCACAAUGGAAAACGGCUCAUCUACCCAAGGUCACCGCUCAAAUUGAAACCUGAAACACAUCUAUAAGUGAGUCGCUGUCUCAGAGCCAAGUCUUCUGACAAGGCCAGGGCGACCUGCCCAGAGGUGGAACUGCACAUGGAUCAAGUAAAUGUCUCACAGACUUGCCCAGAGCCCAGUCUGACAGGUAUACUUUCUCUGUUGAGAUCUCCUCUUCCCAGCUGACUUUGGCUUGUGUCAAGCUCUAUCUAACCAGCUUGGCUAGUAUGCACAGGGUCUGGAAUGUGAACCUGUCUAACAUUAAUUAUGACGGCGUAGACCUGUAAGGCUAGUGCUCAGGAGGUGGAAGCAGGGGGAUUCAAAACUCAAGGUCAUCCUCUGCACAUAACAAAUUUCACAAAAUUUUGUGAAAUGUUCUUUCACAAAAAGAACAUUUUUUUAAAAAAAAUCCCCUUUUUGUUUGUUUGUUUGUUUAUCUAACUACCUUCUCAACUUUCUCCUUUGUCCCGACUCUGCCUUUCCUAGGAGAAGGAGCCAUUUAUGUGCGUUUGAAGUCCAGGAGGAAAAGGGUCAGAAACACAGGCAAGCAUGCAAGCUGGUGUGCACCGCUCUCUGUGUCUGUUUAUUAUGGCCGUCAGGCCUCCCAGGGAAACCAACACACAGUUGGCUGGAGAAGCCACAGCUGAAUACACUCAGGCGAGGAUUCCUGGGAGCCAUCAUUUCCACUGUAGGUUGAAAGUCAGAUAUUUUGUGUGGCUCUCAGCUCCUAGUUGCUUCUUGCUUUUUGAAAAAGAGGAAGUCAACAAAAUGAGCAAGUUAUUUCCAAGUGGAGUGCCUUCCUCCAGCUCAGAGGUCUAUGGAAAUUACAAAGUCCAGGGAAAGGAGCCUUGUUCAGAAGUUCCAAAUGUUCUUGGAGUGGUUUUUACCAGUCCUGAAAGAGCCCCACGUGACUCACGGAGCAGGACUGGAAUAGCCCCACGUGACCCAUAGAGCUAUCACCAAGUUACCUUAUUUGAGACUUUUAAUCCAAGCAGUUUAUAAACACAGGAUGCUUUCCAAAAGUGUUCCUCCCUUUCUCUCCCAUUUAUGGAAACAAAAGCAAAUGUUUUACAAGGGCAGAGACACUGAACUCUUCUUCUUUUGCUGGAUGCCUGAGGAGCCCUGGGAAAGUAUGGAGUAGGUAGAGAGGGAGGAAGAAACUGGACCCUGGCCAAGCUGGCCCUGCUGCUUAAUGGUGCCCCAGAUGUCUGAAGCAGCCUCAACAGAUGGGCCAGCGCUCUUUGUUUGAAUUUGAAAUUAUAAGUAGAAACAUAAGGCAGAUGUUUGCCUCCCUCAAAGGGAAGAAUAUUAAGAAGGAAGGCAUUUAGAGAAUAAGGAAGCCAAAGCCAUUGUCCUAACUUGCAUUGAAGUUUCUCAUUCAAAUCCCCAUUAGGAAACUGCCCCUCUCUAGUCAGAAGUUAGGGCCAUCGCUACCUUCUUUUGAUGGUUAAUGUAAGCUACCAACGUGGUUCGAUUAGUCAUCUAAGAGGCAUUCCUCUGGGCAUGACUAUAAGAGCAUUACUAGAGAUUUUUAACUGAAUACAAACCUACCAUGAUUGGGGGGCUCGGGACUAUCCAGAGUCUGGGGCUCUAAAUGGAAGUAGGCAAGAAAAUGAGCUGAGUACGAGCAUUCAUUUCUUCCUGCUUCCUGACUGCGGAUGCGCUGUGACCAGCUGCUUCAAGUCAAUGACCACAGCGCUCUCUCUACCCCAGACAGCCUUCCAUGUCAAAAUAAACUCCUUUUCCUUAGGGUGUUUUCAUCAUAGUGAUGGGAAAAAGAAAGAUAACCAAUACAUUGACCUUGUUUGUGGGUGACAGAGGAGACCCUCUGCCAAUUCGAUCUUGGGUUGACACCCUGGAGAGAUUUUCUAAAAGGAUAGUGUGCCCUCCUUUGGCUAACAACACACUGUAGAAACAGUAGGAAUUGAACCUUGGUGGUCAGGCCUGGUGGAAAGGACCCUUUACCCACCGAGUCAUUUUGCUGGCCCAGGGUGUGGAUUUCAGAGGUUAAUAAAUAAGAUCAAGACAGAGUGGCAUCGUUGUGGGUUAGCAAUGAGGCCUCUCUUAAAAAGAACUCCUGGAGGUCUUGCAUGGGCCCCUCUCUUCCCAACAGGCAGACUACUCUGAUUGCUAAAUGAAUUCUUCAGGGUCUAACAUGACAAAAUCUUUAUUGUUUUAAUGAGCGAGUCUUGGGUCUUUUGAUUCCAAUAGCGUCUGCAGAUGUAGGCUGUGGGAGUUUAUGUACUGCCUCAGGAGUGGUACUGUACCAAGCUCUGGCCUGCAGCUUGAUUCUGCUUGAGGGUACAGAUUCCUGUGAUCUUCCUCCAUUCACUUCAGAGAAAAGGCGAGCUGUAAAGCUGUUUUCAGAAAGACUACAGGAUGCUGGGACCACAGACCUAGUACGGUAUCUCUCAAGAUGACAGGAUCCCUAAGAGGUGGGAAUGACUAUGUCAAAGUUGGCUGUGCUUUAUACCUGGUGCACAGGUUUGUUCUCCAACACCAUACACGAUACAUCCUUCCUCUUUAUGGUAGUGCUGCCUCUGGACCCCACUUGACACUUCUUGGUGGUCCACUGAGGUUGAACUUGCUUUGAGACACAUUCUUCUUCUCCCUCCUGAUGUUCAGACUUGACUGGACCAUCAAAAGGCAGUUGCUUUACCCGUUCAUCCUUUCUCCAGACCAUCUUAUGAGAUCUGGCACUUUUCCUCUUGCUUGGCUAAAUGAUGACUGGACAAGGACAUCACAUCCAGUUCAGCAGAGUACAGGACUUUCCACUUGUUCCAGAAAAGAGGUGGGGAAAUAAUCCUACUCUCUUUGUUCUAGGUAAUUUUUAUCUCAAAAAAUUGUGUGUGUGUGUGUGUGUGUGUGUGUGUGUGUGUGUGUGUGUGUGUGCAUGUGGUGUUGGGUAAGGAUCGAGCUGAGUGUGAUGUCUUUGGGACAAGGAGAAGUACAUGACUCCCAUCUAGAAGGUUCAAUAAAGGCAUAAUCUGAGAGGUUAUUUCAUGCCAGACUCUUGAGAAAGAUGACAGAGAGCCAAGCACGUAGCACACCACAGUAGCACACAGCAGGGAGCAUUCCCUGCCUUGACUAGCAGAAGAAAAAUGAGAUGUUGUUGCACAAGGUCCUUUUGGAGUGAGAGUUAGAACACUGGGGAGUACGGUUUGCACUCCCCAGGAAGCAGCCAGGAAAGACUCAGCCUUAGAAUUCGAGUGUGGUUCUCGGAGACAAUGUUAAGCACCGGGCCACUUACUUGCUUAUAUCCCAGCUGUGGGAUUGCCAGUGACCACCCAUUUUACAUGACUAGAUGGCGGUUGCCAUAAGAAGCUAACAAAUCCUGAUGCAAGGGGCAGCUAGCAUGCCACUCCAGUGUCUCCCUCCCUCCUUGUGGGUUAUCUUCCAUCCCAGAAUAAAUCCUGAAAAUUUCAGUCUCCCAAUCUCAGCUGAAGCAUCGCCGUGAUAUGCUUCUCUACAAUCAGCUAAGAUCUAAUAACAACGACUAUAAAAUAUCAAGUAUCCAUAAACUGCUUGCUACAAAAACCAUGAGGAACUUUGGAGAGAUGGCUUAGUGGUUAGGAGCCCUGGCUACUCUUGUUAGAGGACUGAGGUUCAAUUCUCAGCACCCACAUGAUGGCUCACACCAUCUGUAACUAGUUUCAGAGAAAUCGAAUGCCCUCUUCUGGAUGCUCUUGGUACCAGGUGUGUGAGUGGUACACAGGCAUACAGGUAGGCAAAAGACCCUACACAUAAACAAAAUAAAAUAAAAUAAUAAGAAACUAAGGAAUCAAGAAUGGGCAGGGUGAACGUGGGGAACAUGGGUAAUAAAAACAUUGAAUCUUGAUAGAAAUUCUGAAGUAACUUAAACAACAGAACCUGUGUUGAGCUGGAUUCUGAGUGAAGAUUGAUGGCUAGAGACAGGGGCAUUACUUGUGUCCCAGGUAGACAGAAAUUCAUGAAUCUGAAGCCUCCAGAUGUAAGAAGUAAACAGAGGGCUGGCUCUGGAAAGAGUCACGUUCUCCAUGACUUACUUGUGUGUGGGCCUUGGUGAUACAGGAUUGUUAGGAGAACAGCUCUUAGAAUGAUCGUAGAAUCAUUCACCUGAAGUUGACUACGCCAGUCCACUCACAGUGCGAGAAUGGCUGAUUGCAAGGCUGUGGGAAACUCUAAUUAUUAGGAGGCAAAUUGAUUUACUGUCCUCACAAAUGUGUCUCCUCCUUGUAACUUCUCAGGAUGAGAAAUGACUCUUUGAGAGGAAAAAAAAUAGAGCUUUCCUCAGCAUGCAAAGGGUGAACCAGGAGCGGAUUAGUGAAGGGCAACUACAUCAGAGAGAGCCCGGAGCCAAGGGCAGUCACGUUACCCAACACUGCCACCAGAGCGCUCGCUCUGGUUCUAAUGAUUUAUUCAGCAUUUGAAACAUCCAGCUCUCUUCAAAUAUUUAUAACACUUCCUGGUUGCUUUGAGGCUUUUAAUAGGGCAGAAUAAAUCUGUAAGUAUUGAAAAAUUGUCAGCAAAUGGGCCAUAGUGUGAAUAACCGAAACGCAAGCUGUAAGGCUGUAGCCAUUUGCUUUAUUUUGGCCAGAGAAAAAUGUUGCAAUAAUCUUUUCCCAGCAUCACUGCUUUGGAUGAGUUUGCCUCUGAGUUUCAUUAAUCAGGGGCUCUUUAAUUACGUGAUAAAACUCCAUUGACAGGAUGAUGCUCUGUCCACUCAGCAAAAUGUUAAGAGAGCUGAUAUUUGUCUUUCUCUGUGUGCUGUUCUCACUCAGCCCAAGGCCUUGAUGGUGCCCUAAAGUCAAGGAGGGUUUCCCCUCAUCAGUCCGACCUCUUUGGAAAGAUCCUUGCAGGUGUAUGUCUCCUAAGUCUACUUAAGUUGAUGAAGAUUGGAGAUUGUCCCUCCACUGUGUGUGCCCCUCUGUCUCUAAUUCAUGUGCUUCGCAGGAUGACUGACCAUGUGACCGUCUUCGGGUCAGUCGGAAUGCAGAAUGCCCAUAGUUACUGUUCUGUUUCUUCUAACAUUCACCUUUCUAUAACUUUCCCACAUGGCUAAGGCACUACUACUCAGCUUGGGGGAAAAUAUAAUCUCCUUCAAUCUUACCCCCAUCUUGUCUUUAAGUCAUUGACUUAGUUAUGUCUCUUUUCCCACCCCUACAGAACUUGAUGAAAGAGAUACCUUGUCUUAACUGUGGAUCUAUUUGCAUCCCUUUCUUUCUGUGUUUGUGGGUC